This is a small nucleolar RNA of Sarcophilus harrisii (Tasmanian devil), 69 nucleotides long. Its record names the gene SNORD63. It matches the Rfam family "Small nucleolar RNA SNORD63". Rfam says of the family: snoRNA U63 is found in both humans and mice. U63 is a member of the C/D class of snoRNA which contain C (UGAUGA) and D (CUGA) box motifs. The record is from Ensembl. NCBI's taxonomy places the organism in Eukaryota, Metazoa, Chordata, Mammalia, Dasyuromorphia, Dasyuridae.
GUGCGGUGAUGUUUUUGUCAACCCUUCAUUCUGAAAGAAAAAAUGUGGUAACUACUAAAACUGAGCACA